AGAGUUUGAUCAUGGCUCAGGAUAAACGCUGGCGGCGCACAUAAGACAUGCAAGUCGAACGAACUUGACCAUUAGUUUACUAUUGGAGCGGUUAGUGGCGGACUGGUGAGUAACACGUAAGCAACCUGCCUAUCAGAGGGGAACAACAGUUAGAAAUGACUGCUAAUACCGCAUAUGCCUUAGAAUCACAUGGUUCAAAAGGGAAAGGAGCAAUCCACUGGUAGAUGGGCUUGCGU
This 236-nucleotide ribosomal RNA is filed under the name uncultured bacterium. RNAcentral's name for it is "partial 16S ribosomal RNA". It matches the Rfam family "Bacterial small subunit ribosomal RNA", at positions 8 to 236 of the family's 1533-position model. The record is from RNAcentral.